GAGGGUGGAGCUCAGUGGUAGAGCACGUGCUUAGCAUGCAUGAAGUCAUGGGUUCAAUCCCCCGUACCUCCA
RNAcentral lists this transfer RNA (72 nucleotides) under Camelus dromedarius (Arabian camel). It matches the Rfam family "tRNA". Rfam says of the family: Transfer RNA (tRNA) molecules are approximately 80 nucleotides in length. The record is from Rfam by way of RNAcentral. Lineage: Eukaryota; Metazoa; Chordata; Mammalia; Artiodactyla; Camelidae. RNAcentral also lists the same sequence under 1 other name.